This 484-nucleotide ribosomal RNA is filed under the name uncultured bacterium. RNAcentral's name for it is "partial 16S ribosomal RNA". It matches the Rfam family "Bacterial small subunit ribosomal RNA", at positions 30 to 507 of the family's 1533-position model. The record is from RNAcentral.
AUUGAACGCUGGCGGCAGGCCUAACACAUGCAAGUCGAGCGGAUGAAGUGAGCUUGCUCCUGGAUUCAGCGGCGGACGGGUGAGUAAUGCCUAGGAAUCUGCCUGGUAGUGGGGGAUAACGUCCGGAAACGGGCGCUAAUACCGCAUACGUCCUGAGGGAGAAAGUGGGGGAUCUUCGGACCUCACGCUAUCAGAUGAGCCUAGGUCGGAUUAGCUAGUUGGUGGGGUAAAGGCCUACCAAGGCGACGAUCCGUAACUGGUCUGAGAGGAUGAUCAGUCACCCUGGAACUGAGACACGCUCCAGACUACUACGGGAGUCAGCAGUCGGGAAUAUUGGACCAUGGGCGAAAGCCUGCUCCAGCCCUGCCGCGUGUGUGAAGAAGGUCUUCGGAUUGUAACGCACUUUCAGUUGGCAGGAAGGGCAGUAAGUUAACACCUUGCUGUUUUGACGUUCCCAACAGAAUAAGCACCGGCUACCUUCGUG